AGCAGUAGCCACGGGAAUACGUAGGUGGCAAGCGUUGUCCGGAAUUAUUGGGCGUAAAGGGCUCGCAGGCGGUUUCUUAAGUCUGAUGUGAAAGCCCCCGGCUCAACCGGGGAGGGUCAUUGGAAACUGGGAAACUUGAGUGCAGAAGAGGAGAGUGGAAUUCCACGUGUAGCGGUGAAAUGCGUAGAGAUGUGGAGGAACACCAGUGGCGAAGGCGACUCUCUGGUCUGCAACUGACGCUGAGGAGCGAAAGCGUGGGGAGCGAACAGGAUUAGAUACCCCGGUAGUCCCUGUCUCUUAUAA
Molecule: ribosomal RNA, 303 nt
Filed under: uncultured bacterium
Lineage: Bacteria
Description: partial 16S ribosomal RNA
Rfam family: Bacterial small subunit ribosomal RNA
Source: RNAcentral